UGGAAUCGCUAGUAAUCGCGGAUCAGAAUGCCGCGGUGAAUACGUUCCCGGGCCUUGUACACACCGCCCGUCACACCAUGGGAGUCGGUAACACCCAAAGUUGGUAGUCUAACCGCAAGGAGGACGCCGCCUAAGGUGGGAUUGAUGACUGGGGUGAAGUCGUAACAAGGUAUC
RNAcentral lists this ribosomal RNA (174 nucleotides) under uncultured bacterium. RNAcentral's name for it is "partial 16S ribosomal RNA". It matches the Rfam family "Bacterial small subunit ribosomal RNA", at positions 1327 to 1500 of the family's 1533-position model. The record is from RNAcentral.